CUUGAAAUAUCCAGAUCCAUUAUAAUAAUUAAAAGUUAGUGGUCAAUUUGUUUAGUUUCCAUGCAAAUAAUCUUGUAAAGCUGUUCAAAUUCCCAAAGCAAAAUAGAUAUUUAUAUUGUUAGGCCUAUAUAUUUUUCGAUUUAGUGGUGCGAGUAACUUGUACCUGUUUUUUUGUGAGAUUCACGUGUAACUUUCAUACUAUUAAAAAGUCAAAGAGGUUAUUUUUGAAAGACGAGGCGGAUAUUCUCGACUUUUCGGCGCGAAACACGUUUUGAAGACAGACAGUUCUCAACUGUUCUCCGUGCUCGACGUCGAAUUUCUUUGCUUGGUUUAAGACAUUUCAAUGAGAGUGAAAGUGGCCUGAUAUUACAUGCAGAUGUGAGUGUUUUUAAAAUCUUUUGUUUCAUUUUAUCAAAUUUAUUUAUUUAUAUAUCAUUCUAAUUUUUUUGUUCUCUUUCAGGUUUCUGCGACUGCAGCUGAUGUAGAGAAGAUGCCACAUCUACCUGCCAGCCCUCGUCUCUAUGUGGGAGGGCAGAGAACUGUACUGAACGCUGGAUGAUUACCCUAGAGAGUCGUGUUGUUUGUGAGGGCAUACAACCAAGAUUCCUGACUGCAAUAGCAACCAUGUUUGCAAUGUUCUACGUCUUCAAUCUUAAGUAUCCAGAGGAGGCAUGUGGCACCUCGGAAUUCAUUCAAAGACGAUUCGUUGGGAUAAACCCUGAAAGAGGUACGAAGACCUGCAGAGGCAAGGUGGUUUCAAAGAAGACUGGAAAACUUGUCAGCAAGAAGUCUGCCACUGUCAAUCCCAAAGUUGCUUCUCUCCUGAAGAACCUCAUCGAUUUCGAAUGGAACUUCGUCUAGAUCUGGAUUUCCUCUCAGACCAGAUGUGUUAAAAGCUGAUGUGGGACGUUUUGCCAGUUUUUUUGCCUCUUCCUACGUUUUUUCACCAAUUGGUUCUCUUGUCCUCUCAGAUCGGGAUUUCCUCUCAGGCCAGAUGUUUCAAAAGCUGAGGUGGGACGUGUUGGCUGUUUUUUGCCUCUUCCUACAGUUUUUUCACCCAUUGGAUCUCUUGUCCUCUCAGGCCAGAUCUUUUGGCUGUUUUUUGCCUCUGUCAAGGAUUUUUCAUCCAUUGGUUCCUUAAUAUUUUCCUCUCAGACUCAGAAUUCCUCUCUUGCCUGGAUGCUGAUGUGACAUGUUGAAUGUAAGGUUUCUUUGUUUGCCUACUGUUUCCUCACAUUUUACAAUGUAUUUUCUGUGAC
Molecule: long non-coding RNA, 1259 nt
Organism: Xyrauchen texanus (razorback sucker)
Lineage: Eukaryota; Metazoa; Chordata; Actinopteri; Cypriniformes; Catostomidae
Exons: 4
Source: RefSeq, a predicted model, not a curated record